UAGAGUUUGAUCAUGGGUCAGGAUGAACGCUGGCGGCGUGCUUAACACAUGCAAGUCGAACGAUGAAGCCCAGCUUGCUGGGUGGAUUAGUGGCGAACGGGUGAGUAACACGUGAGUAACCUGCCCUUAACUCUGGGAUAAGCCUGGGAAACUGGGUCNUAAUACCGGAUAGGAGCGCCCACCGCAUGGUGGGUGUUGGAAAGAUUUAUCGGUUUUGGAUGGACUCGCGGCCUAUCAGCUUGUUGGUGAGGUAAUGGCUCACCAAGGCGACGACGGGUAGCCGGCCUGAGAGGGUGACCGGCCACACUGGGACUGAGACACGGCCCAGACUCCUACGGGAGGCAGCAGUGGGGAAUAUUGCACAAUGGGCGCAAGCCUGAUGCAGCGACGCCGCGUGAGGGAUGACGGCCUUCGGGUUGUAAACCUCUUUCAGUAGGGAAGAAGCGAAAGUGACGGUACCUGCAGAAGAAGCACCGGCUAACUACGUGCCAGCAGCCGCGGUAAUACGUAGGGUGCGAGCGUUAUCCGGAAUUAUUGGGCGUAAAGAGCUCGUAGGCGGUUUGUCGCGUCUGUCGUGAAAGUCCGGGGCUUAACCCCGGAUCUGCGGUGGGUACGGGCAGACUAGAGUGCAGUAGGGGAGACUGGAAUUCCUGGUGUAGCGGUGGAAUGCGCAGAUAUCAGGAGGAACACCGAUGGCGAAGGCAGGUCUCUGGGCUGUAACUGACGCUGAGGAGCGAAAGCAUGGGGAGCGAACAGGAUUAGAUACCCUGGUAGUCCAUGCCGUAAACGUUGGGCACUAGGUGUGGGGACCAUUCCACGGUUUCCGCGCCGCGAGCUAACGCAUUAAA
This 848-nucleotide ribosomal RNA is filed under the name Micrococcus sp. MOLA 452. Its description in RNAcentral is "bacterial SSU rRNA". It matches the Rfam family "Bacterial small subunit ribosomal RNA", at positions 1 to 864 of the family's 1533-position model. Lineage: Bacteria; Bacillati; Actinomycetota; Actinomycetes; Micrococcales; Micrococcaceae. The record is from RNAcentral.